This 468-nucleotide ribosomal RNA is filed under the name uncultured bacterium. Its description in RNAcentral is "partial 16S ribosomal RNA". It matches the Rfam family "Bacterial small subunit ribosomal RNA", at positions 28 to 507 of the family's 1533-position model. The record is from RNAcentral.
GACGAACGCUGGCGGCGUGCUUAACACAUGCAAGUCGAACGGAAAGGCCCUGCUUUUGUGGGGUGCUCGAGUGGCGAACGGGUGCGUAACACGUGAGUAACCUGCCCUUGACUUUGGGAUAACUUCAGGAAACUGGGGCUAAUACCGGAUAGGAGCUCCUGCUGCAUGGUGGGGGUUGGAAAGUUUCGGCGGUUGGGGAUGGACUCGCGGCUUAUCAGCUUGUUGGUGGGGUAGUGGCUUACCAAGGCUUUGACGGGUAGCCGGCCUGAGAGGGUGACCGGCCACAGUGGGACUGAGAUACGGCCCAGACUCCUACGGGAGGCAGCAGUGGGGAAUAUUGCAAAAUGGGCGGAAGCCUGAUGCAGCAACGCCGCGUGCGGGAUGACGGCCUUCGGGUUGUAAACCGCUUUCGCCUGUGACGAAGCGUGAGUGACGGUAAUGGGUAAAGAAGCACCGGCUAACUACGUG